GAUGAACGCUAGCGGCAGGCCUAAUACAUGCCAGUCGAACGAGAUUAAGAGGCUUGCUUCUUAUGAAAGUGGCGCACGGGUGCGUAACGCGUAUGCAACCUACCUUAAUCAGGGGGAUAGCCCGAAGAAAUUCGGAUUGAGACCGCAUAAAAACACAGGAUAGCAUUAUCCAAUGUUCAAAUAUUUAUAGGAUUAAGAUGGGCAUGCGUGUCAUUAGCUAGUUGGCGGGGUAACGGCCCACCAAGGCGACGAUGACUAGGGGAUCUGAGAGGAUGACCCCCCACACUGGUACUGAGACACGGACCAGACUCCUACGGGAGGCAGCAGUAAGGAAUAUUGGUCAAUGGAGGGAACUCUGAACCAGCCAUGCCGCGUGCAGGAAGACAGCCCUCUGGGUCGUAAACUGCUUUUAGUCGGGAAUAAACCUUUCUACGUGUAGGAAGCUGAAUGUACCGAAGGAAUAAGGAUCGGCUAACUCCGUG
This 482-nucleotide ribosomal RNA is filed under the name uncultured bacterium. RNAcentral describes it as "partial 16S ribosomal RNA". It matches the Rfam family "Bacterial small subunit ribosomal RNA", at positions 28 to 507 of the family's 1533-position model. The record is from RNAcentral.